CAGGAUGAACGCUAGCGGGCAGGCUUAACACAUGCAAGUCGAGGGGCAGCGGGGAGGAAGCUUGCUUUCUCCGCCGACGACCGGCGCACGGGUGAGUAACACGUAUGCAACCUGCCCCUGUCAGGGGGACAACCCGCCGAAAGGCGGGCUAAACCCGCGUACAUGCCACCGGGGCAUCCCGGAGGCAGGAAAGGCUUCGGCCGGACAGGGAUGGGCAUGCGGCGCAUUAGGCAGUAGGCGGGGUAACGGCCCACCUAACCGACGAUGCGUAGGGGUUCUGAGAGGAAGGUCCCCCACACUGGUACUGAGACACGGACCAGACUCCUACGGGAGGCAGCAGUGAGGAAUAUUGGUCAAUGGUCGGGAGACUGAACCAGCCAAGCCGCGUGAGGGAGGAAGGUACAGAGUAUCGUAAACCUCUUUUGUCAGGGAACAAAGGCGGGGACGUGUCCCCGGAUGAGUGUACCUGAAGAAAAAGCAUCGGCUAACUCCGUGCCAGCAGCCGCGGUAAUACGGAGGAUGCGAGCGUUAUCCGGAUUUAUUGGGUUUAAAGGGUGCGCAGGCGGUCUGUUAAGUCAGCGGUCAAAGCCCGGGGCUCAACCCCGGCCCGCCGUUGAAACUGGCAGUCUCGAGUUGGAGAGAAGUAUGCGGAAUGCGCGGUGUAGCGGUGAAAUGCAUAGAUAUCGCGCAGAACUCCGAUUGCGAAGGCAGCAUGCCGGCUCCACACUGACGCUGAGGCACGAAAGCGUGGGUAUCGAACAGGAUUAGAUACCCUGGUAGUCCACGCAGUAAACGAUGAAUGCUGGCUGUCCGGGGGGAUUGACCCCUGGGUGGCGAAGCGAAAGCGAUAAGCAUUCCACCUGGGGAGUACGCCGGCAACGGUGAAACUCAAAGGAAUUGACGGGGGCCCGCACAAGCGGAGGAACAUGUGGUUUAAUUCGAUGAUACGCGAGGAACCUUAACCGGGCUCAAACGGGGAGUGACUCAGGCAGAGACGCCUGUUUCCCACGGGACACUCCCCGAGGUGCUGCAUGGUUGUCGUCAGCUCGUGCCGUGAGGUGUCGGCUUAAGUGCCAUAACGAGCGCAACCCCCGCGUGCAGUUGCUAACAGAUAACGCUGAGGACUCUGCACGGACUGCCGGCGCAAGCCGCGAGGAAGGCGGGGAUGACGUCAAAUCAGCACGGCCCUUACGUCCGGGGCGACACACGUGUUACAAUGGGUGGUACAGCGGGAAGCCAGGCGGCGACGCCGAGCGGAACCCGAAAUCCACUCUCAGUUCGGAUCUGAGUCUGCAACCCGACUCCGUGAAGCUGGAUUCGCUAGUAAUCGCGCAUCAGCCAUGGCGCGGUGAAUACGUUCCCGGGCCUUGCACACACCGCCCGUCA
Molecule: ribosomal RNA, 1386 nt
Filed under: uncultured bacterium
Lineage: Bacteria
Description: 16S ribosomal RNA
Rfam family: Bacterial small subunit ribosomal RNA
Source: RNAcentral